UUGGGACUGAGACACGGCCCAAACUCCUACGGGAGGCAGCAGUGGGGAAUCUUGCACAAUGGAGGAAACUCUGAUGCAGCGAUGCCGCGUGAGUGAAGAAGGCCCUUGGGUUGUAAAGCUCUUUCGUCGGGGAAGAAAAUGACUGUACCCGAAUAAGAAGGUCCGGCUAACUUCGUGCCAGCAGCCGCGGUAAUACGAAGGGACCUAGCGUAGUUCGGAAUUACUGGGCUUAAAGAGUUCGUAGGUGGUUGAAAAAGUUGGUGGUGAAAUCCCAGAGCUUAACUCUGGAACUGCCAUCAAAACUUUUCAGCUAGAGUAUGAUAGAGGAAAGCAGAAUUUCUAGUGUAGAGGUGAAAUUCGUAGAUAUUAGAAAGAAUACCAAUUGCGAAGGCAGCUUUCUGGAUCAUUACUGACACUGAGGAACGAAAGCAUGGGUAGCGAAGAGGAUUAGAUACCCUCGUAGUCCAUGCCGUAAACGAUGUGUGUUAGACGUUGGAAAUUUAUUUUCAGUGUCGCAGCGAAAGCGAUAAACACACCGCCUGGGGAGUACGACCGCAAGGUUAAAACUCAAAUGAAUUGACGGGGACCCGCACAAGUAGUGGAGCAUGUGGUUUAAUUCGAAGAUACGCGCAGAACCUUACCAACACUUGACAUGUUCGUCGCGACUUUAAGAGAUUAAAGUUUUCGGUUCGGCCGGACGAAACACAGGUGCUGCAUGGCUGUCGUCAGCUCGUGUCGUGAGAUGUUGGGUUAAGUCCCGCAACGAGCGCAACCCUCACUUUUAGUUGCCAUCAUUAAGUUGGGCACUCUGAAAGAACUGCCAGUGAUAAGCUGGAG
RNAcentral lists this ribosomal RNA (837 nucleotides) under marine metagenome. Its description in RNAcentral is "bacterial SSU rRNA". It matches the Rfam family "Bacterial small subunit ribosomal RNA", at positions 313 to 1168 of the family's 1533-position model. The record is from RNAcentral.